This 473-nucleotide ribosomal RNA is filed under the name uncultured bacterium. RNAcentral's name for it is "SSU rRNA". It matches the Rfam family "Bacterial small subunit ribosomal RNA", at positions 26 to 518 of the family's 1533-position model. The record is from RNAcentral.
AGGAUGAACGCUGGCGGCGUGCCUAACACAUGCAAGUCGAACGUCCUGUCUCGCAAGAGGCAGGGAGUGGCGGACGGGUGAGUACCACGUGGGUCAUCUACCGUGAGGUGAGGAAUACCGGCGAGAAAUCGCCGACAAGACCGCAUAGCCUCGGUGCAAGUUGAGCAAAGCUCUUUCGAGAGAGGGAGCGCCACACGAGGAGCCUGCGCCCGAUUAGCUAGCUGGUGGAGUAACGGUUCACCAGGGCGACGAUCGGUAGCUGGUCUGAGAGGACGAUCAGCCACACUGGGAUUGAGAACGGCCCAGACUCCUACGGGGGGCAGCAGUGAGGAAUUUUCGUCAAUGGGGGCAACCCUGAACGAGCAACGCCGCGUGCAGGAGAAGGUUUUCGGAUCGUAAACUGCUUUUUCUCGGGGAAGAGAACGGACGGUACCCGAGGAAUCAGCCCCGGCUAACUACGUGCCAGCAGCCGC